GCUCUGGUGUUUUUGUCUGGAGUGGUACUGGGGGAUUUACCUACACUUCAGCUGCUGCUGUUUGCGAGAUGGGCAGGAGCCAUAGGAAUGCCACCAGCAAAUGCUGUAUCUCAGAAAGAGAAACUCUUACUACAUACAGCUGAGGCUCAGCAACUUGGCUUAGGCAGUAGCUUCUGACCUGAGCAGCACGAAGAGAAUAAACAACACUCAAAAACUGGAAGGAUCAACCUGUCAGUGUGCUAUGGCUGGGUGCACCAGCAAAUCACGACGUGCUCUUCAGUUGCUGCGACAAGAUCUCUUCUGCUGACUGACACCUAGAUCCUUGGAGAAAGAGAAAUGAUCCAGUGAGAGCAGUGCUUCGUGAAGUGCACGGUGACUUAAGACCCACUCCUGCCAGAGGAGCUUGAGGCAGAAAGACAAGAAAGAGGAGAGAUGAAAGAGGCAGAGAUGCUCUUUUUAUUCUCCCCCCUCUCUGUCACUGCAAGAUGGAAGCUGCUGCCCAACAGGAAGAUACAGAAACAUCAGAACAACGAGCCCCUGCAGCCUGAUAGCUUGGAGCUCUGGUGUAAAGGAGGUUCUGCUUUACACCUCUUCAGACCGAGAGAAGCAGAGCUGCACUCAGUAUCAGCGGGUUUUUCCACUACCGCUCUAAAAUCUUCUGGAGUGCUAAAAGCACCAGGACAUCCGUGCACUCUUCACAGCCCUUUUUGGGAACAACUAUGUGUCACCAUCCGACCGCUCAGGAAACCACGCAGCUGGGCAGGAAGAGCCAGGAAGGGCUCAGCCUCCCUGCACACUUCUAGGGCACAAAAUGAAUCAACUUGCCCUGCCCAGAGCCGGUUUUCCAAGCUCCUGCCAGGGAUGAGGAGAGAAUCCGUGCUUCUGCAGACACCUCAGCUCCUGCCUGGCACUGAGAGCUGUGCGUGGAGGUUCAGUGCAGCCAUCACCAGAUGGUGCUGCUGCAUUCAGCCUUGCAGGGUCACUGUGUGCACGAGUGUUGGGAUUCUUGGAAGAAAAUACUGAACUGUGGAUGUUUUCCUGCUGCUUGGAUGUCUGGAGAGCAGGCAGGGCAUGCUCUGCCUUCAUGUCACUGGCCAGUUCUCUUUGAGAACCAGACGUUCGGGCUUUGGCCGGGAAUUCAGAGCAGGGGUGGGUUCAGAUGAUGUUUGAGAUGAUCUGUUCCAGCCUGGCUCAAGUGGAUAAACAAAAUUAAUUAGGCCCACAUCAUAGGAUUCCACAGGAUUUAUUUUUCCUCCAAUGGAAAACUGGCUGGCAACGGGUACUGCUGCUAAUCGGGACAACAUACCACCACAGUUUACCUCUUUUUUCCAUAAGUUUUACAGCUUUUCCAUUUUUUUUUUUUAAUGGUUUUGUUUUGUUUUUUAAAGGCCCAGCUCCAGGAAUCAGUUAUCACAUAAGAAUCCAAUACCCAGCAAGUAUAGGAAAAGUUAAGUUCACUUUCCAACAUCUAUUAUAUAUGAAACUGCUCCCUGGUUGUGGCAGUAAACACGUGAUGAGUUCUAAACAGCUGCUUGGGAAGGCUUUCAUCUCUGCUUCCUCAGCAAAUGCAGGAAAAGGUCAAGGGAAAGAUUUUGAUGAGCAGUUUGCAAUUGUAACUUAUGUUUAUCUAUUAAUUAUAGUCUCCAAUUUAAAGUUUAUCUGCACUGUUGGGGUGUGCACAGAGCACAAUUCUGUGCUCUAUUUCUGUAAGGCAAAUAGGUGCAGAGCAAGAAGCUCAGAAGCUAAGGCAAAAAUUGUUCUUUUUGAAUCAGCAUUCUUCAUUGCUAUUGCACUGAGAUCUCUGAAUGCCUCUAGGCAGAGAAGAAUCUACGUCUGAUGAUUUGGAGCUCAGAAAGGAGGUGCUCCAGCCUUCAUAAGGUCUUCAGCCUCACCCCGUGGACAUCCAGGCUGCGUACUGUGAAGUUCUGUCUGUCUUUACAUCCUGUCUGCAGCCAUUACAGAGUCCUGGAGUCCUGUAAGGACUGGGAUUUGAUCAUCCAGCUCCGAUCAGAAUCUGUCCAGAUGGAUGGAUUCCAAGGGACAGCUCAUGGCUUGGAAAGAUAGGGCAUAUAAGAUAAAAUGACAAACAGCGAUGCUCUUGAGAAGGCAAAUGAGGAGCUUCUUUAUUUUAUGGUGUCAUGAAAAAAGGGUAGUGGUGGAU
This is a long non-coding RNA of Gallus gallus (chicken), 2161 nucleotides long. The record is from Ensembl. Lineage: Eukaryota; Metazoa; Chordata; Aves; Galliformes; Phasianidae.